This is a long non-coding RNA of Haliaeetus leucocephalus (bald eagle), 547 nucleotides long. RefSeq lists it as uncharacterized. The record is from RefSeq and is a predicted model, not a curated record. The transcript is spliced from 3 exons. NCBI's taxonomy places the organism in Eukaryota, Metazoa, Chordata, Aves, Accipitriformes, Accipitridae.
UGGGAUGACACUCGGUGCUGACCUAUGGGCUUGCAAACAAGAUGAGGCAAAUACUGGGGAACAGCAGGAUGGAAGAGACUCACCAAAAGCAGCCCGGCCUUGACACUGGCAGGGCUGGCAAGAGAACCAAAAAGCCCUAGCACCCUGUCGUUAAGGCUAUAUCUGCUGGGCAAACACCACCUCCUAGAGCAGCAGAAAUUCCAGCCCAGUAUCACAGCACUAGGAGCUGCAGAGCGCAAAAAGGGAAGAGCUGUUGCUGUUGUGCAGCUGAGGAACUGAGUCACGGUGAAGUCAUGGGCAAGAAGCCUGUGGGUCUUCUGCCUGACAGCUGAGACUCCUUGUCACAGGAUAUUGAAAGACAUAACCUUGCCUCAAUGCUAUGAAGAAAACCAGGUAACUCAGAAAAGAAACACAUCCACUGCAGCCUCCCAAGGGCAUGUGCAGGAGCGGAUGGGAAAAGUUUACUUUUCAAAGAAUCACUCACCAUUUUCAGACUUCUGCAGGGAGUACUUGUAGUUGGCAUUUACAGAACUACCAGAUCCCAUGU